Molecule: long non-coding RNA, 661 nt
Filed under: Homo sapiens (human)
Lineage: Eukaryota; Metazoa; Chordata; Mammalia; Primates; Hominidae
Description: HSALNT0222939
Source: RNAcentral
GUGAUCGUCGAAUCUGUUGACCUGGCGCCACCGGAAAAAGAAAUUCCCGGGCCCUGGCUUCUUGGCCUGAUGGCACUGCUAGCCUUGAAGCCUCCAGCCUGCUGGAUGCCUCCAUCCCCGGCUAUGCUGUGGCUCUCCUCAUUCUAGGCCUCCUGCUCGUCACAUUCACCCUUGUCCUGGUGCUAAAGUGGAGGGCCUCCCAUGGGGUGUUCAGCCUGGGUGUGUAGAAGCACACAGUGUGGUACAGAGGACCCUCUCCAGACAGGUGCCUCCCACCAACCCUAGAAAUGAUGCUGGGAGCUGACAGAAACUGAACUUAGGAGCACAGGAGGCCAGGAGACCUGGGACAGAGAACAGGAGGUAUGACCCCUCAUGCUGCUGCUCCCUCUGCUGAAACCCAAACUGCAAACCUCUCCUCUCCCUGCCUUCACCUUGCCCCACGGCUUCCACAGACAGUGCCUCAACCCCGAGGAAUGAAUCCGAAGUUCCAACACCACUGACUUUCCCAGGAACUCAGAGCCAGAGAGGGCCAAGGACCAGCUCGAGGACACACAGCCAGGGCUUCUUCCCUCCGAAACCCCCAAGGACUGGACUUGCAGGGCUGGGACAGAGGUGGGGUGGGGGAAAGCAAUGCCUUGUCAACCCACGUGGGGAGCCCCAC